ACUUAAGUAAUUUAAAUUAAAAUAUCGAUUUGUGGAGUCGAUUUUAUACAUAUAUGUAUCUUGGGUU
RNAcentral lists this transfer RNA (67 nucleotides) under Perisphaerus sp. 3 ZQW-2023b. Its description in RNAcentral is "tRNA-His". Lineage: Eukaryota; Metazoa; Arthropoda; Insecta; Blattodea; Blaberidae. The record is from RNAcentral.